This 253-nucleotide ribosomal RNA is filed under the name uncultured bacterium. Its description in RNAcentral is "partial 16S ribosomal RNA". It matches the Rfam family "Bacterial small subunit ribosomal RNA", at positions 524 to 776 of the family's 1533-position model. The record is from RNAcentral.
UACGAAGGAGGCGAGCGUUGUUCGGAAUUACUGGGCGUAAAGGGCGCGUAGGCGGCCUGUUAAGUCGAACGUGAAAUCCCCGGGCUCAACCCGGGAACUGCGUCCGAUACUGGCAGGCUUGAAUCCGGGAGAGGGAUGUGGAAUUCCAGGUGUAGCGGUGAAAUGCGUAGAUAUCUGGAGGAACACCGGUGGCGAAGGCGACAUCCUGGACCGGUAUUGACGCUGAGGCGCGAAAGCCAGGGGAGCAAACGGG